UACAGAGGGUGCAAGCGUUGUUCGGAAUUAUUGGGCGUAAAGCGCGUGUAGGCGGUUUUGCAAGUCGGGUGUGAAAUCCCCCCAGCUUAACUGGGGAAGUGCGCUCGAAACUGCAGAGCUAGAGUACCGGAGAGGAUGGCGGAAUGCUCCAAGUAGAGGUGAAAUUCGUAGAUAUGGGGCGGAACACCGGUGGCGAAGGCGGCCAUCUGGACGCUACUGACGCUGAGGCGCGAAAGCCAGGGGAGCGAACGGG
Molecule: ribosomal RNA, 253 nt
Filed under: uncultured bacterium
Lineage: Bacteria
Description: partial 16S ribosomal RNA
Rfam family: Bacterial small subunit ribosomal RNA
Source: RNAcentral